AAGAUAAUUUUGUUAAACUUCUCUCUGAGUUUAACAUCCCAGAUGUCAAAAAAGUGUCCACAGGCCGUGAAGAAAUCUCAAAAGCCAUUGGAUCCAAGGCAGAUCUACUGGACUUGUGUCAUCGUCUGAGUGUUAAACCUUCUGGCGUCUUGCAGAUCAUGAA
This is a long non-coding RNA of Strongylocentrotus purpuratus (purple sea urchin), 163 nucleotides long. RefSeq lists it as uncharacterized. Lineage: Eukaryota; Metazoa; Echinodermata; Echinoidea; Camarodonta; Strongylocentrotidae. The transcript is spliced from 2 exons. The record is from RefSeq and is a predicted model, not a curated record.